GACCUGCGGAGGGAUCAUUACACAAAUAUGAAGGCGGGCUGGAACCUCUCGGGGUUACAGCCUUGCUGAAUUAUUCACCCUUGUCUUUUGCGUACUUCUUGUUUCCUUGGUGGGUUCGCCCACCACUAGGACAAACAUAAACCUUUUGUAAUUGCAAUCAGCGUCAGUAACAAAUUAAUAAUUACAACUUUCAACAACGGAUCUCUUGGUUCUGGCAUCGAUGAAGAACGCAGCGAAAUGCGAUAAGUAGUGUGAAUUGCAGAAUUCAGUGAAUCAUCGAAUCUUUGAACGCACAUUGCGCCCUUUGGUAUUCCAAAGGGCAUGCCUGUUCGAGCGUCAUUUGUACCCUCAAGCUUUGCUUGGUGUUGGGCGUCUUGUCUCUAGCUUUGCUGGAGACUCGCCUUAAAGUAAUUGGCAGCCGGCCUACUGGUUUCGGAGCGCAGCACAAGUCGCACUCUCUAUCAGCAAAGGUCUAGCAUCCAUUAAGCCUUUUUUUCAACUUUUGACCUCGGAUCAGGUAGGGAUACCCGCUGAACUUAAGCAUAUCAAUAAGCGGAGGAAAAGAAACCAACAGGGAUUGCCCUAGUAACGGCGAGUGAAGCGGCAACAGCUCAAAUUUGAAAUCUGGCUCUUUUAGAGUCCGAGUUGUAAUUUGCAGAGGGCGCUUUGGCUUUUGGCAGCGGUCCAAGUUCCUUGGAACAGG
Molecule: ribosomal RNA, 703 nt
Filed under: fungal sp.
Lineage: Eukaryota; Fungi
Description: eukaryotic LSU rRNA
Rfam family: 5.8S ribosomal RNA (bases 186-339)
Source: RNAcentral